Molecule: long non-coding RNA, 1002 nt
Organism: Cyprinus carpio (common carp)
Lineage: Eukaryota; Metazoa; Chordata; Actinopteri; Cypriniformes; Cyprinidae
Source: Ensembl
ACACAGCCAUUCGGAUAUUAAUGAUCUGAGAGCUGUAAGAUCAAACGCAGAUCUACACGCGACUGUGUGUUAAAGUCCAGCGGUCUGAUGAACUAGUCCAUCAAAACACCACCAGCGUUCUACCUAAAUAAGCAUGCAAUGGGCAUCUCUCGUCUCGAUCUAGCUAAAUAUCCCAAUACCCCGUUGUCUGUGUCCUCAUUGCCGAUGCCAAACGAGCUCCAGUGCCAACACACCAGUCUCUCAAGGGCCACUGAUCUGCUCAAAUUAAAGCCACACGAGACGCAUCGGGAUCCCCUGGAUCAUCAUCACCAAACCUACGGACAGGCAGAUCAGACACUACCAAAGGACCACCAACAUCAUCUCCUCCUGGAGAAAUGUUACGUGGCUGUGAUGAGUCUGACUUCAGCCGACAAGAAGUGGCUCAUAGCUCUAAACCCCCUUUUCGACCACUGGAUCAAUUAACUAGUUCAGCAAACUAUCUACACGAAGCGACUGCCAAAACCUAGCGAUGACAAACCCCAAACCGAAGUGUUCAAGCUGUCUAAACGAUAUCUUGGAGAUAAAAUGAUCAGCUGGGACAAAGCUCAUGUUCUCCCCCUCGCUCUCUCUCUCUUUGCUUGUCAAAACAAAUGCAGGAGGACAGCCUCUAAGUCAUGUGUCCCAACAACAGCUCGUCCCGCCCCCAUGCUAGACGUCACUUCCGCCCCGCGGCACUGGCUUGAACUCGUUACCGCAGCAACGCGUGAGCUCAACCCACUUAUCUGAACACUUUUAGCUUUAUCUACCUUAAAGGUACCUAAAGUGUACAUAUUAGUACCUCAAAGGUACAGAAGUGUACCUUUUGAAAAUGUACUGCCGCAGUGACAGCUUUUGUAUCUUUUUUCUGAGAGUGUUUCAAAAAAGAGGUAGGCCUUAUUUUAUUAAGUAAAUUUAUUAAGAGAAUUUAAAAGAAUACUUUUGAAGUAAAGUAUAAUAUCAAUAUACUAGUAGUAUACUUUUAUG